Molecule: ribosomal RNA, 460 nt
Filed under: uncultured bacterium
Lineage: Bacteria
Description: partial 16S ribosomal RNA
Rfam family: Bacterial small subunit ribosomal RNA
Source: RNAcentral
CCUACGGGAGGCAGCAGUGAGGAAUAUUGGUCAAUGGACGAGAGUCUGAACCAGCCAAGUAGCGUGAAGGAUGACUGCCCUAUGGGUUGUAAACUUCUUUUAUAUGGGAAUAAAAUGUUCCACGUGUGGGAUUUUGUAUGUACCAUAUGAAUAAGGAUCGGCUAACUCCGUGCCAGCAGCCGCGGUAAUACGGAGGAUCCGAGCGUGAUCCGGAUUUAUUGGGUUUAAGGGGAGCGUAGGUGGAUUGUUAAGUCAGAUGUGAAAGUUUGCGGCUCAACCGUAAAAUUGCAGUUAAAACUGGCAGUCUUGAGUACAGUAGAGGUGGGCGGAAUUCGUGGUGUAGCGGUGAAAUGCUUAGAUAUCACGAAGAACUCCGGUUGCGAAGGCAGUUCACUGGACUGCAACUGACACUGAGGCUCGAAAGUGUGGGUAUCAAACAGGAUUAGAUACCCUUGUAGUC